Salvia miltiorrhiza (redroot sage) is the source of this 1253-nucleotide long non-coding RNA. RefSeq lists it as uncharacterized. NCBI's taxonomy places the organism in Eukaryota, Viridiplantae, Streptophyta, Magnoliopsida, Lamiales, Lamiaceae. The transcript has 2 exons. The record is from RefSeq and is a predicted model, not a curated record.
ACUUAAUAUUUUAUUUCAUAAGGCAUGUGCCUAAUUAGCCAAGUGGGCAAGUGGAUUAAGUGUAGAGAUUUUGGGAGACAAGCAAUUAAUGAAGAAGAUUUCAUUUGAUCUUAAGGAUCAAAGUGUAUCAAAACAAAACAAAAUUUUCUCUCAUCUCUCACCCUCAACCUCUCGCCCCUCUCUCUUUCUCUCUCCCUCAUCUCUCUUUCCUCCAUGAACCUCCAUUAGAGAGACCUUCCAAGCUUCCCAAAAUCACAUCUAUGGCAUAAUCCUUCACUAAAUCAAGCCCUAAACACUUUCUACACUUGAUUUCAAAGAGAUUUUAGAAGGUUUGAGCUUGAAGUUUAGAGAGAAUAAAUUCUACUUUUCCUUAAAAAAUUUGAAUACGAGCAGAGGACGAAAGUAAGAUCGCCCAAGUACUACGAGAGUAAGCUAAGUUUGUCAGGUGGGCAUUAUUUUGAGUAUACAUAUUAUACGAGCUUUCUCAAAUGAUAUGAUAUUUAUGAUUAUGAUUUGAGUUAAUGUUAUGCUUGAAACUAAUUGACUUGCCGAGUUUUGUUGUUAAUGAUUUGUGUGUUACCCUCUACUGAUGAGACGAAUUCGGUCCUGCCACAAACGAGAUUUUGUGCACAGAGGUGACUGUGAGCUGUCUAUCGGGUCGGCCGAUCACGGUACUUGAGAGGGAGGCCUACUUCUCAAUACCUUUAAUGAUGAGUUGUAAAUGUGGUACAUACAUGCUAAGUAUUUUGACUGCAGUCGCUUAUUUAUGAUGCUUAUGAUUUACAACUACUUACACAGGUUCUUUCCAACUAAAUCCAUGUUUAUUGCUUAUGUGGCAAGUUCAAUUUAUAGCUCUAAGAGCAAGCUUUUAUUUAUUUUUCGGCAUAUGUCCACUGAGUACUUUGUACUUUGUACUCAGCCCUGCAUGUAUUUCUAAAUGUGCAGGAUUAGCGAGAAGAGAAAAGAUCGGUCUGGUGCUGGCAGGGACUUAUUUUGGACGACAUUGUUUCUUUUACCAUAUCUCUACUUCAUACGGUAGCCUUUUGACGUUGGAUGUUUAUAUUUUGAACUUAAUCAGGAAAUACACUCUCGGCUAUAUGUCUUCAUACAUAUAGUCUGAUCACGUUUUGCUGCGAGACUCUGUAAAUUAUAAACCUUUGUAAAUUUUUAACUAUGUUCGCUUUGUAAACUUUGUCGAGAAUCCCUGUACUUUUGAACUUAUGAAGCCGAUAAUAUUUGUGUCUUUGAGAUGA